AACGAACGCUGGCGGCAGGCUUAACACAUGCAAGUCGAACGCUCGUAGCAAUACGGGAGUGGCGGACGGGUGAGUAACGCGUGGGAACGUGCCCUGAGGUACGGAAUAACUGCGGGAAACUGCAGCUAAUACCGUAUGAGCCCCGCAAGGGGGAAAGAUUUAUCGCCUUGGGAGCGGCCCGCGUCGGAUUAGCUAGUUGGUGGGGUAACGGCCUACCAAGGCUUCGAUCCGUAGCUGGUCUGAGAGGACGAUCAGCCACACUGGGACUGAGACACGGCCCAGACUCCUAUGGGAGGCAGCAGUGGGGAAUCUUGCGCAAUGGGGGCAACCCUGACGCAGCCAUGCCGCGUGAAUGAUGAAGGCCUUAGGGUUGUAAAGUUCUUUUGCCCGUGACGAUGAUGACGGUAACGGGAGAAUAAGCUCCGGCUAACUUCGUGCCAGCAGCCGCGGU
Molecule: ribosomal RNA, 451 nt
Filed under: uncultured bacterium
Lineage: Bacteria
Description: bacterial SSU rRNA
Rfam family: Bacterial small subunit ribosomal RNA
Source: RNAcentral